UCAAGACUCCAUUAGCCUCUACUUGCUAUAAACCCCAUGGCAGCGCUACUCGCAGCAUUCUCCAAGAAAGCUCACGUCCUCGUCGCCUUCGCGCUGCUGGUGGCUCUCCUCGCCGCGGUUGCGUCGGCGGGCAAGGGCGACCUCCUGAUGACAGACGGCCAGUGCACAAGAGUUGGAGCCUGCUCGGAUAGCUUGUGCACGGAGCAGUACUGCAGCGUCCAUGACACCGGGUCGUGCAAGUUCGUCGGCCAAUACGUCUACUGCUGUUGUGGCCCAGUGCAUUCGACAUCCACCGACGAUGUCCAUCCGCGGCCGCUUGGUCAUUGAUGAUCCGUCAUAUCUUUGUUUGAUGCAUGAUUAGACGUGAUAUGGUUAGAUGUUUUGCACCGGUGUAUGGGAUGUAUCCGAUCUGAUUAUUGGU
Molecule: long non-coding RNA, 421 nt
Filed under: Setaria viridis
Lineage: Eukaryota; Viridiplantae; Streptophyta; Magnoliopsida; Poales; Poaceae
Description: long non-coding RNA (SVIR_LNC008792)
Source: RNAcentral